UUUUUAAGAUAUUGUGGUGUGAAGCCAAGUAACAUAGGUGAAGAAUUGAUUGACGACACAGGUCUGCUUUCUAACAAUGACGUGUCAAAAAUGGACGAAACACUGAGAAAGCUUGAUAAAGAUGACGACACUUUUCCAGUAGGAAAUAGUGUUGUGGAGUCACAAGGCAAUGCUGAGUUCGUUAAUAAUGAGCCAGAUGCAAUUAAAGCUAUUUUAAGAGAUUGUGUUGAA
Long non-coding RNA from Xenia sp. Carnegie-2017, 231 nucleotides. RefSeq lists it as uncharacterized. NCBI's taxonomy places the organism in Eukaryota, Metazoa, Cnidaria, Anthozoa, Malacalcyonacea, Xeniidae. The record is from RefSeq and is a predicted model, not a curated record. The transcript has 3 exons.